UCUACCUGGAAGGUUCCCUGUAGGGGUUGGUGGGCAGGCUGCCCCCUCCCACAUGUGCUCUGUGGCACUGCCUCUCUGUGGAGCUGGACUUCCUCUCCCUUUUUGGGAGGACAACAGAUGGAAGCCUCAUCUUAUGCUGGCACAGCCUCAUCUCAUGCUGGCACAUUGCUGCCAAGAGGCCAGGAAAUCUCUGUUGUGGGCCUCCUACCCUGGUGGCAGAGCCAACUGUGCUCCUAGGUGUUCUGGUGACUUCUGAGGGCCUCGCAUGAAAGAUAACGCCCAAAUCAACAAAUCUGCCAUUGUGGCUUUGAAGAGACUGUUUCAAUCACUUUAUUUUGUCUUUAUGUCAGGUUUGCCAGAUGGCUUGGGUCUUUCUGAGGUCCUGUACCGAGGGGGCACAGAGAGAACUGGUGCAGCUUCAAAGCUCCUUUUUAAUCUUUAGCAACAUCACAGCGGCUGGGAAACUGCCUCGGCUCCCUCAAGUCUCUCCCACAAAAGAGGCGCGGCCGAGGCUCUAAUGAAAGCCAGAUAAAGGGAUGGCUGGAAUCAGAAACAGAGGGAAAAGAGCAGUCGUUAGUCUUUCUUGUAGCUGUUUCAAAAGAAAUUCUAAGACAAAUUAUGGCUUUGGGUGUUUUUCUAAAAGGACUGCAGCAGGGAGAGGAGGUGGGGGAGGUGCUUUGACCCCUCAGCACCCUUCCCCUUGCAUGAAAGGCAGAGGAGACUGAAAAAAGGCUGAAAUACAACAAUAAACUUUCUGCUUGUGCGCGUGGGGAUGAAAGGCGCGCUGGCAUAAUUAUGGGCGAGGGUGCGCGGGGGCGGGCGGGCGGCUUUACCUUGCCGCCAGCGCUAUUAAUGAUGAGGCUCCCUCUUUUUCUUCUCUAGAAGGGGUGCCUUUGGUUUUCGGGAAUGGGGUGGGGCACCGUGCGCCGAGGCUGACAUUUGGCGCAGGUGGUGGGGAUGCGAUGCAUUGCUCAGUGCAGAGGUGCUUGGGAGCCACAGCGCCCUCGUGGCUGCCAAGGCCCUGUCAUCGUGAGAAGGAGGCAGAUGUACCGGUGGGUCAUCCUGCCUCCCUUUCGCCCUCCUUUAAGGUCUCAAGGUCUGUCUCUUGGGCCCUGGGGAGGGUUGGGGGGGCGGGGGCGUUCUGACCCCUAAUUCUAGCUCCACAUGGGUCAGUCCUAUUCUGGGAGAGUUAGAGGGGUUCCCACCUGUCCUCUUCCAUUGCACACGCUGUCUUAAAUCCACACUGUCAGCCCAAAUGUCAGGCCCUACCAGUGCUGCUGAGAUCUCAUGGUGUGCCGGGCUAUCCUUACCUCCUAUCUCACCUUGGGCCAUCUUAGUUUCCAUGGAUGUUGGUCAGCUACUUGGCAAGAUCUUGUGGGCAUGGGACAGCUAAGGUUUGAUAGGCAGGCAGGGAAGAGGUGGGGAAGC
Molecule: long non-coding RNA, 1428 nt
Filed under: Homo sapiens (human)
Lineage: Eukaryota; Metazoa; Chordata; Mammalia; Primates; Hominidae
Description: HSALNT0230761
Source: RNAcentral